GCUAAGUCAGGGCAGGUAGUGGGGGGAGUACGGAGGGUGCAGGGUUUUUCCGGAUUCAGGGGGUUGAAAGGGGGCGUAGGUGGGUUGGUAAGUCAGUGGUGAAAUCCGCGAGCGUAACUUGUGAACUGCCAUUGAUACUAUCAGGCUUGAAUACCGUGGAGGUCAGCGGAAUAUGUCAUGUAGCGGUGAAAUGCUUAGAUAUGACAUAGAACACCAAUUGCGAAGGCAGCUGGCUACACGAAUAUUGACACUGAGGCACGAAAGCGUGGGGAUCAAACAGGAUUAGAUACCCGGGUAGUC
This 300-nucleotide ribosomal RNA is filed under the name uncultured Catonella sp. RNAcentral describes it as "partial 16S ribosomal RNA". It matches the Rfam family "Bacterial small subunit ribosomal RNA", at positions 496 to 795 of the family's 1533-position model. The record is from RNAcentral. Lineage: Bacteria; Bacillati; Bacillota; Clostridia; Lachnospirales; Lachnospiraceae.